CAUGCUAUACUGCAGUCGAACGAGCUUCCGUUGAAUGACGUGCUUGCACUGAUUUCAACAAUGAAGCGAGUGGCGAACUGGUGAGUAACACGUGGGAAAUCUGCCCAGAAGCAGGGGAUAACACUUGGAAACAGGUGCUAAUACCGUAUAACAACAAAAUCCGCAUGGAUUUUGUUUGAAAGGUGGCUUCGGCUAUCACUUCUGGAUGAUCCCGCGGCGUAUUAGUUAGUUGGUGAGGUAAAGGCCCACCAAGACGAUGAUACGUAGCCGACCUGAGAGGGUAAUCGGCCACAUUGGGACUGAGACACGGCCCAAACUCCUACGGGAGGCAGCAGUAGGGAAUCUUCCACAAUGGACGAAAGUCUGAUGGAGCAAUGCCGCGUGAGUGAAGAAGGGUUUCGGCUCGUAAAACUCUGUUGUUAAAGAAGAACACCUUUGAGAGUAACUGUUCAAGGGUUGACGGUAUUUAACCAGAAAGCCACGGCUAACUACGUGCCAGCAGCCGCGGUAAUACGUAGGUGGCAAGCGUUGUCCGGAUUUAUUGGGCGUAAAGCGAGCGCAGGCGGUUUUUUAAGUCUGAUGUGAAAGCCUUCGGCUUAACCGGAGAAGUGCAUCGGAAACUGGGAGACUUGAGUGCAGAAGAGGACAGUGGAACUCCAUGUGUAGCGGUGGAAUGCGUAGAUAUAUGGAAGAACACCAGUGGCGAAGGCGGCUGUCUAGUCUGUAACUGACGCUGAGGCUCGAAAGCAUGGGUAGCGAACAGGAUUAGAUACCCUGGUAGUCCAUGCCGUAAACGAUGAGUGCUAAGUGUUGGAGGGUUUCCGCCCUUCAGUGCUGCAGC
Molecule: ribosomal RNA, 841 nt
Filed under: Levilactobacillus brevis
Lineage: Bacteria; Bacillati; Bacillota; Bacilli; Lactobacillales; Lactobacillaceae
Description: bacterial SSU rRNA
Rfam family: Bacterial small subunit ribosomal RNA
Source: RNAcentral